CUGGUUUUCAGGACCCAUCAGGGAGACUGUUGGACCAAGGUCUAGCUUUGCCUUCGUGUGGCACUCGCCGGGAAGCUCGAAUCCCGGUUCCCUGGGGCUUGAGAAGCUGUUGUUUCGUCCGUCGGGGCUAGAGGUGCCGAUGACUAAGGAGUUGUAUGUCAACCAGAGUUCUACAGUUUUGUGUACUUAUCUGGAAAAGCAAAAAGUGAGGGAUUUCAAAGAAACAUCUGCUUCAUUGACUUUGCUAAAGCCUUUGUGUGGAUCACAACAAACUAUGGAAAACUCUUAAAGAAAUGGGAAUACCAGACCACCUUAUCUGUUUCCUGAGAAACCUGUAUGCAGGUCAUGAACCAACAGUUAGAACUGGACAUGGAACAACAGACUGGUUCAAAAUUAGGAAACAAGUACAUUAGGGCUGUAUAUUGUCACCCUGCUUAUUUAACUUGUAUGCAGAGUACAUCAUGUGAAAUGCCAGGCUGGAUGAAUCAAUCACAAGCUGGAAUCAAGAUUGCUGGGAGAAAUAUCAACAAUCUCAGAUAUGCAGAUGAUACCACUCUAAUGGCAGAAAGUGAAGAAGAAUUAAAGAGCUUCUUGAUGAGGUUGAGAAGAGGAGAGUGAAAAAACUGACUUAGAACUCAACAUUCAAAAAACUAACACCAUGGCACCUGGUUCCAUCACUGUGACAGAUUUAUUUUUCUUUUCAGGGCUCCAAAAUCACUGCAGACAGUGACAGCAGCCAUGAAAUAAAAAACGCUUGCUCCUUGUAAGAAAAGGUAUGACAAAGCUAGACAGCAUAUUAAAAAGCAGAGAUAUCACUUUGUCAACAAAGGUCCAUAUAGUCAAAAGUAUGAUUUUUCCAGUAGUCAUGUAUGGAUGUCUGAGUUGGACCGUAAAGAAAGCUGAGUGCUGAAGGAUUGAUGUUUUUGAACUGUGGUGUUGGAGAAGACUCUUGAGAGUAAGGAGAUCAAACCAGUUGAUCCUAAAGGAAAUCAACCCUGAAUAUUCAUUGGAAGGACUGAUGCUAAAGCUGAAGCUCCAGUACUUCGGCCACCUGAUGCGAAGAGCCCACUCAUUGGAAAAGACCCUGAUGCUGAAUGAGGUGGUCGGAUGGCAUCACUGACUCAAUGGACAUGAGUUUGAGCAAGCUCUGGGAGAUAGUGAAGAACAGAAAAGCCUGGUGUGUUGCAUUUCAUGGGACAUGAUUUAGUGACUG
This is a long non-coding RNA of Bos taurus (domestic cattle), 1213 nucleotides long. The record is from Ensembl. Lineage: Eukaryota; Metazoa; Chordata; Mammalia; Artiodactyla; Bovidae.